This 254-nucleotide ribosomal RNA is filed under the name uncultured bacterium. RNAcentral's name for it is "partial 16S ribosomal RNA". It matches the Rfam family "Bacterial small subunit ribosomal RNA", at positions 524 to 776 of the family's 1533-position model. The record is from RNAcentral.
UACGUAGGGUGCGAGCGUUGUCCGGAAUUAUUGGGCGUAAAGAGCUCGUAGGCGGCUCAGUAAGUCGGGUGUGAAAACUCCAGGCUCAACCUGGAGACGCCACCUGAUACUGCUGUGGCUAGAGUCCGGUAGGGGAGCAUGGAAUUCCUGGUGUAGCGGUGAAAUGCGCAGAUAUCAGGAGGAACACCAGUGGCGAAGGCGGUGCUCUGGGCCGGAACUGACGCUGAGGAGCGAAAGCGUGGGGAGCAAACAGG